AUACGUAAGUGGCGAGCGUUAUCCGGAAUUACUGGGUGUAAAGAGUAUGUAGGCGGCUUGUUAAGUUUUGUGUUAAAUUUCACGGCUCAACCGUGAACUCGCAUGAAAAACUGGCAGGCUUGAGUGGAUGAGAGGAGACUGGAAUUCCUGGUGUAGUGGUGAAAUAUGUAGAUAUCAGGAAGAACACCAAUGGCGAAGGCAGGUCUCUGGCAUCCAACUGACGCUGAGAUACGAAAGCAUGGGGAGCGAACAGGAUUAGAAACCCCGGUAGUCC
Molecule: ribosomal RNA, 274 nt
Filed under: uncultured bacterium
Lineage: Bacteria
Description: partial 16S ribosomal RNA
Rfam family: Bacterial small subunit ribosomal RNA
Source: RNAcentral